Molecule: long non-coding RNA, 4277 nt
Organism: Bubalus bubalis (water buffalo)
Lineage: Eukaryota; Metazoa; Chordata; Mammalia; Artiodactyla; Bovidae
Exons: 2
Source: RefSeq, a predicted model, not a curated record
CAGGAGGAGAAGGGGACAACAGAGGAUGAGAUGGCUGGAUGGCAUCACUGACUCGAUGGACGUGAGUCUGAGUGAACUCCGGGAGUUGGUGAUGGAUAGGUGUUGGGAAGCCCAGUACAAAAUAGCUGGUUGGAGGAAGUCCUUGGGAAAAUGGCUAAGGGCCAGAAAUAUCCUGGCUUGGUGUGCUCAGGCAGAAAAAUAUCUCCUGCCUUUGGUUAUGCCCAGCGCCAAGAUUUAAUAAUAAAUAUUAAGGAUGUUGCUUAAGAAAACGGGUUAUGGGAUAAGCACAUGAGUCACUUAGAGUGCGCUGUCCUUGAAAUAUUUUUACUGAUUAGGUGUUAACCCCGUACGUGCUCUGCUGGCUGUAUACUCUAAGCUCUUUGUUCCUACUUCUAUAAAAAGGCUUGACUGCAGAAAUAAACUUGUCAGUCCUUGCAAGAGACUGUCCGAGUGUCCUUCUUUCAGGUUUGUCGCUUCCAAGUCCCGGGGAGAAAAAUCCCCAACAAGUGGUGCCUGAACAGGGACUUGAGAGGAAGGCUGAACAAAGCGACGAGCCCUGCAGAAAGAGAUGGAGAGGAAAUCUGGGUUCCCAUUCUCCAUGUCCAUUCCUGAGAAGGACCCCAAGACCAGACUCCCUCGGCAAGUGACGAAGGUGACACGAAGGGUCUCGUCAAUGACCUUGGAGGAGCCAAUGAGGAAACGCCAUCGUCUGAAUCCUUACCCGACAUGGGCUCAAGUGAAAAACAUGACUCGUCAGGCUAAGCAGACACUGAAGAGUACUGGAACUCCUAUGACUCCAGAUAAGCUGUUUCUGGCAAUGUUAGCUGUUCUUUCCUGUUCCUCUGGGGUAAGUGCAGAAUAUGUUUAUUGAGCAUACAUACCCAACCCACCACUUCUCUCCAUAGUGGAUUGGGUAGAUAAAGCCCCUAUGAUAUUUACUAAUGACAGCAUGCAUUUUCCAAGUCCCUGGUCCAUAAAGCGACCAAUUCAUGAAGAAGAUGAGGGAAAGCCAAUCAACAUUUCCGUGGGAUUCAAAACCUUGCCUAUCUGUUUCGGAUCUCAUCCCCUUUGCAUGACUGUCUUCCCACAGUGGUGGACAUACUCUGCCAACAAUGGGACUGCUUUGCAUCUGGGAGUGUUUGCUACGGCAUCUUUCUUACUUAAUGGCACCAAGCGAUAUUAUCCAGGCUGGAUAGCCAACUAUUCGAACUCGCUUUUUCAACCAGAGGAACCUUCAUGUCAUACUGUAUCUUGGAGAAGAAAACAGGAGAUACAACCGUUACAUUGGUCUGAUUGUCGAGGCCAAUUUGGGAAAGUUUCUAUAAUUCAGCAAAAUCAUACUUUUCAUACAUUUAAAUUUGUUAGCUGGGGACCUCACGGGUUGUUUGUAAACUGUUCUGAAGAGCAAGAAGAACAUCAUAACUGCUCCUGGUUUAAUAGAUCAAGCAUUGGAGGCUUUCAUAAAUCUAAGACAAGUUUAUGGACUGAUAAGGACAUAUUGCUGAAUUGGUAUAAUGGGGGCUUAUCACCCCCAUGACCCAGGAUUGUCGUCCCCAUUGUGGGGCCAAAGCAAUGGCACAUUUGGAAAAUUCCAGCAGCCUUAAAGCACUUCGCUAGUGUUUAUGGGACUGUGGGUAUGUUUCAUCCUUCUAAUUACACCUUCCUAUACAAUAGUACUGGUUAUAUUCAAUCAUGUGUUCACCUUCCGUACUUGUUUAUUGUAGGGCAUUUUGAUAUUGACUUAUCAGCCAAGAUUGUCAAUUGUACUGCAUGUGCAUUGUAUACCUGCCUUAACCACACCAUUUCAUAUCACAAUGCUAGCAUUGCGCUAGUUAAACAAAGAUCUGAGUUACGGCUUCCCGUAAACUUAACUGAGCCUUGGACUGAUUCUGUAUUUCUUUCUGUAUUGUUGAAAACUGGACUUAGGUGAUCUAAGCGUAUCAUUGGGUGGAUUGUUGCAGGCAUCUUAAGCCUUAUCUCCAUUGCAACUGUAGGAACUUUGUCUGGUAUGGCUUUACAUAAUUCUAUACAAAAUCAUGAUUUUAUCACUGCUUGGCACAAAGACUCUCAUGAUCUUUGGACUCAACAAGCUCAAAUAGAUCAGCAAUUACAAACACGAAUUAAUGAGUUACAAACUGUGGUUAUCUACUUAAGAGACCAAACGCAGCAACUGACUUUCCGAACACGUAUACUCUGUCACUGGAAUUUUACUUCUUUUUGUCUGACUAACAUGCCCUAUAAUAGCACUGAAUAUCCUUGGAAUAAGGUUAAGGCGCAUUUGCAGGAUCUCACAAGUAACUCAAGUUUAGACAUCAGUUUGUUGAAACAACAAGUUGCUAAUUUUCAAGUUAAGGUACCUAAGGAAUUGUACAGCACUCAAUUUUAUGAUACUUUAACCAAAAUCCUAUUGUCUCUAGACCCUAGAGCUUGGUUUUCUGGAAGCAACAUUUUUAUAUAUGUAUUAAUCACCCUGCUUUUUCUGUCAUUGCUUAUAGGAUAUAGAUGUCUCUACUCGAGACUCCAUGCCUCCCACAAUGGAGUCCAACUAGCAGCUACCAUGCUUAAAUUAAAAACAAAAGGAAAAUAUGUUGGGAAGCCCAGUACAAAAUAGCCGGUUGGAGGAAGUCCUUGGGAAAAUGGCGAAGGGCCAGAAAUACCCCAGCUUGGUAUGCUUGGGCAGAAAAACAUCUCCUGCCUUUGGUUAUGCCUGAUGCCAAGAUUUAAUAACAAAUAUUAAGGAUGUUGCUUGAGAAAACGGGUUAUGGGAUAAGCACAUGGGUCACUUAGAGUGUGCUGUCCUUGAAAUAUUUUUACUGAUUAGGUGUUAACCCCGUACGCGCUCUGCUGGCUGUAUACUCUAAGCUCUUUGUUCCUACUUCUAUAAAAAGGCUUGACUGCAGAAAUAAACUUGUCAGUCCGUGCAAGAGACUGUCCAAAUGUCCUUCUUUCAGGUUCGUCACUUCCACGUCCCAGGGAGAAAAUCCCCAACAACAGGGAGGCCUGGCGUGCUGCGAUUCAUGGGGUCGCAAAGAGUCGGACACGACUGAGCGACUGAACUGAACUGAAGUGAAAAUGUGUAAAUUACUGUCACGGUGGUCAGUGCAGCCCCUCUGCUCCCUCUGGCAAGUGUAUUACACACUGACUUCUACUCUUUGCUCACAUCAUUUUGCUCAGUAAGGACUAAGCAGAGAGAUCAGGGCCCUAGAACUUGCCGCCUGGAUUCAAGUUCCAGCUCCAUGACUGCCUUGAGCUUGAGAAAUCCCUUAAUGCUUCCCUAAUGCUUCCCCUACAUAACUCAUGUGAUUGUUCUGAGGACUGGAUGAGUUAGCCUCUGGCACAUAGUGAGUACUAGGCAAGUUUUAACUCUUAUUGCUAUUUUUUUAGAUCAGAAUACACAUGCACCUUAUUUUAUUUCUCUUAACUUUUUGAGAUUUUAACAAACUGAAGGUGUGUGGCAACCCUGCAUUGAGCAAAUUCAUUGGUUUCAUUUUCCCAACAAUGUUUGCUCGGUUUGUUUCUCCUGGCACAGUUUGGUAAAUGUCACAUAUUUCAAACUUUAUUACUAUUAUUAUAUUUGUUGUGGUCAUCUGUGAUCAAUGCUAUUGAAUGUUACUACUAUGACUUACUGCAGGCUUAGAUUUGGUAACAUGUUAUUUUAAAGUUAAUGUAUGUACACUUUUAAGAUAUAAUUCUAAUCACAGUAGACUAUGGUAUAUGUUGUUGCUGUUGUUGUUGUAAACAUAUGUGAAAAAUUCAUUUUACUUGCUCUAUUGCGGUGGUCUGGAACUGAACUUGCAACAUCUCCAAGGUAUGUCUUCACCUUCCUAGGAUUAUGGGCUUCUCUAGUGGCUCAAGGGUAAGAAUCUGCCUGCAAUGUGGAGACCCAGGUUCCAUCCCUGGGUGGGCACGAUCCCUUGGAGUAGGAAAUGGCAACCCACUCCAGUUUUCUUGCCUAGAGAAGCCCAUGGACAAAGGAGCCCAGUGGGCUACAGUUUAUAGGGUUGCAAAGAGUCGGACAUGACUCAGUCACUUGACUUCUUAGGAGUAGCUCAGGAAUACUCCUACUUGAUGAAAUCUUCUCUGAUGAUUUAAAUUCACAAUACACACUCUCCUCCUUCUGGAAGUUCACUGUAAUGAUUGUGAGUGAUUCUAUCUAUUUGAUACUUCUUCUCAUUUACUACUAUGCUUUGACUCCUCUUUGUAUAUGCUGUAUUUCUCAAGAAGGAUACAACUUCUUUGGGAAAAAUCUAUGUAUUAAAGUUUUGGCAUCCCUCAAA